Molecule: transfer RNA, 77 nt
Filed under: Candidatus Chazhemtobacterium aquaticus
Lineage: Bacteria; Candidatus Chazhemtobacteraceae
Description: tRNA-Ile
Rfam family: tRNA
About the family: Transfer RNA (tRNA) molecules are approximately 80 nucleotides in length. Their secondary structure includes four short double-helical elements and three loops (D, anti-codon, and T loops).
Source: RNAcentral
GGGCGAUUAGCUCAGUCGGUUAGAGCGCGGUCCUGAUAAGACCGAGGUCCUUGGUUCGAUUCCAAGAUCGCCCACCA